Molecule: non-coding RNA, 4395 nt
Organism: Manis javanica (Malayan pangolin)
Lineage: Eukaryota; Metazoa; Chordata; Mammalia; Pholidota; Manidae
Source: RefSeq, a predicted model, not a curated record
ACAGGGAGGAACAUUUCUCCCAGAUUGUCUGCGUCUGGCCACAGGGAGCAUCAUUGUUUGCUUUGGACAAAAAAUUUUUUUUUUUUAUCUUUUUAAUUUUAUUAUGAAAAUUUCAAACAUGUACAAAAGGAGAGAGAAUAGUAUGAUGAGCUCCUACAAACCUAUCACCCAGGUUCAACAACUUUUAACUCAUGGCCAGUUAUUUACACCUCUACCCACUUCCCCGCAUCUCUGGAUUCUUUUGAAACAAAUCCCAAAUAGACAUUACAUAUACUCUCAUUGGCAAAUAUUUCAGCAUUUAGCUGUAAAAUAUAGGGGCUCUUAAAAAACAAAAAGUAACCUCAAUACCAGUAUCACCUUUAUGGUAGAAAGACUUUAAAGUGGCCCCAUGAUUCCUACCUCCUUGUGUAGGAACCAUACCCUUGUAUGGUCACCUCCCCUUCAGUGUGACUUGCUUCUAACUAUUGAAGCAAACUAUCUUUGUCAUCAAAGAUGAUGGGAUAUAUGUGAUUACAUGUCCAUGGUUCAUGAUUAUGUUACAUAAGAAUGCAGCCCAGUCUUGCUGGAAUCUCUUUCUCCCUUGCUUGCUCUGAGAAAGCCAGGUAUUAUAUUGUGAAGCUCUAAAGAGAAAUGCAGGUAGCCUCUAGAAGCCAAGGGCACCCUCAAGCCAAUAGCCAGAGUCAAAACAAAGCCCUCGGUCCUACAACAACAAGGAACUGAAUUCUGCCAACAACCCAAUUCUGUGAGCUUGGAAGCAGAGCUUUCCCUCCACUUGAGUGUUCAUACAAGACGGAGACCCCAGCCCUACCUAACACCUUGGUUGCUGCCUUGCAAAGGACCCAGCUAAGCGGUGCCUGGACUCCUGAUAAACAGAAACUGUGAAAUAACAAACGGGUGUUGUUUUAAGCCACCAAGUUUGUGGUUAAUUAUUACUCAGCAACAGAAAACCAUUACAACAUUAAAAAAAAAUUGGAAACAAUUACUUAAUAUUAUUGACUCUCCCGUUAAUGUUUCUAUCUCCCUGAUUGUCUUACAAAUGUUUCACAGUAUUUUUGUAAGAUGCUCUGACUUCAGCCUCAACUGUGUGAGUUGUGAGUCCUGUGCAGGUAACCUGCCGUCUAGCCAGCCCAGCCUUUCUCCCAGAUCCGACUUGGCUGGGCCUGCUGAUGCUUGUUUCCCCGGGCAACCUUUCCCAGGGCUUCCAUUGCUGAUCAGCCCUGACUCUCUACUUAGAUCAGAUUAUAGUCAGGCCAUUCUAUUCCUUCAUCGUCAGACAUUGCCAAAUUCCCCUGAGCUGAGGGGCAGGGGACAAAAUCCAUCACUCUGGUUGAGAACUACUGCUUUAAGUUGACCUUGUUUGUUUGUUUUUUCUCUGAUUUGCUUCUUCUUUCUUUUCUUAACAGCUUAACUCUCAUAAGGUAGACUGAUUCUUUCCAAGUUCUUUUCAGGGUGGGAAUCCUCCUUGCUGUCACUCCCAUGCAUUCUGCAAAUUAGGUGCCCAGCUGGGAUUUGAAUUCAGAUCUGGCCUAUAGGUCAGAUCUGCUGUUCUGCCAUCUGACACUGGUGGUAAACAGCAGUCUGUUGUCUCCUACGUAUAAGACACGGUGCUGGAAGCUGGCAGGGUGGAGAGCUGGGGGGCAGGCUGCAAAGGAGAUAGAGGGGGAGUCUAUAGAGCUCUCAAGGGACUCUAAAUGGGGAGACCAGGCUCCUCCUUUCAUGCAGAGAUAAUGAGCACUUGGUGCUGGUCUGUGACUGGGGCAUGCAUACGGUGCAUGCACUGAGCUCUAUGGCAUAGCCAGAGAGUGUUGAAAGACAGGGCUUAGAGAGACUGGGGCGUGAGCAAAGAUUCAGAGAUAAAUGCACAAGGCACUUCUGGGCUGUCUAGUUUUUACAUCUAGAAAGUAGUUGUUAGGUUCUGUGGGGACAGAGAGAGUAAUAAAAAAUAGUUCUUAAACUAACAGUUCAGUUGAAGAGAUGCAUGUAAACACAAGGAUGGAGAAAUAAUCCUGGAAACUACUCUUUUUGCCAUUUUCUUAAACUGUUAAAAUUUGUAGGAAGGACUUGGAGAUCAUGGCAAUUGUGAAUCAUCUCCAGUGAACAAGAAAGGGUAGAAGUGUGGUUCAAAGUGUGGUCCCAGACAAGCAGCAUUUGCUCUACCCGGGAGCUUGUGAGAAAAACAAAUUCUCAGGCCCCAUUCCAGUCCUGUUGAAUCAGAAGCUCUGGAGGUGGGGACAAGAAAUAUGAUUUUUUAACAAGUCCUUCAGAAGAUUUGGUGUGUAUUUAAGUUUGAGAACCACUGGUAUUCAGGUUUCGAAAUUUAGCCACUGUUUUCUUCCCUCCCAAGGGACAAUUGCCUAUGCAGCUCAAUAAUUUAAAAAUGUACAUUGCCUCAAAAUCUCCCAACCAUACCAAUAUACCUCCUGUUUAGCUCAGUUUUGCUGGAGCUGGGUGGUUUUACUUUUUAUUUUUUUAAUUUUCUAAAUUAGCUACAGUUCUGUUCAGCAUAGAAAACUAAACUCAGGUGGGAGCUGUUUAGUAAUAAACAGAUUAGUUAAUUAGCCAUGAUUUAUUAAUGAUGAAUUAAUUAUACCUGAUUGUGCAGUUCUGCUAGCUAAAGGGAGCUUUAAAGGAGUUAUUUUAUUAAUCAUCAUGAUGCUAAUUGCAGACACUUACAGAAGGACCACUAAUUAAACAUGCAACCAUAUGCAGAACAACUUGGGCUGCUGAGACCUGCAAGAGUAAGAGACACUGAUUUUUAGGGGAGUCAAAACAAUCUUACUUCAAUAUUAGGGGGUUGGCUUGGUAAUCUUAAUCGUUCACUGCAAAUUCAUAUUGUAAUCCUUUCCAGCAGAACUUGAUCCCUAUAUCAAAAAGUAGAUAGCACUCUGGUAAGAUUUCCGUUAAGAGGGAAAAAUUGUUCAAUCUUGUUUUAUGUUUUACACACAUGUAAACUGCUAUACUGAAUGUUUGCUAAACAGAGACCAUUGACGGAUGGAAUGGGAUUUACAGCACAGAGUCAAAACCAUAUACCAGUCCUUUGUACCAGAGCAUCUCAGAUCAAGAAAGAGAAGACUGCCAGCACCUCAGAAGGUCCUAUGUUCCCUUUCCUGAUUAUAAGACUCUCCUUCCUCCUGGAGUUAUUACCAAAAAAAUGCCACUGUGAAGAUUCUUCUUUAUGCGUCGUAACGUACACAUGCAACAUUUUCUCUUUGAUGCAAGAUAACUCCAGGCACUGAACCACCAUCAACAAAUAUAUGGGUGUGUUUAUAGAUCAUCAUCAAAGAUUUUUGAAACUGUUCUUACCGCACUGAACCAGAAGAUACUUUCAAGGAACCAGAAACAUUUAAGUGUCAGCUUCUUAAGAAUUUUGUGGGCUCUCAAGCAUACUCUGCAAAGUGCAUGGACCAAAUUGAACCUGUUCUGCAUUCAGAAAGUGAAAACAGUGCCCUGUGGCUUAGCUCUUUGUCUUCAUUUGUUUAGGCUGCUCUAACAAAAAUGACAGAGACUAGGUGGCUUAUAAACAACAAAUAUUUAUUUCUCAUAGUUCUACAGUCUAGAAGGCCAAGAUCAAGGCACUGGUAGAUUUGGCGUCUGGUAAGAGCCUCUUUCUUGCUCACAGAUGGCAGUCUACUCAUUGUGUCCUCACAUGGUGGAAGGGGCAAAAGAGAUCAUUAUCACCUCUUUUGUAAGGGCACUAAUCCCACUCACAAGGGCUCCACCCUCACGACUUAAUCACAUCCCCAAAGCCCCACCUCCAAAUACUGUCACACCGGGGACUGGAUUUCAACAUACGAAUUUUGGGGAGACACAAACAUUCGGUCUAUAGAAGCCCUUCUGGGGCACUGCCUUAUACACUGUUUUCUGAUGAUGUCAAAUACUGGAGAGGCCAGAGUGGUUUAUGAUUAUGUAAAUGCAAGAGCUGGUUGAAGCUAUUGCAAUACCUUUGGGCCAGGUUAUUUUAAGUUACAAUGGACAGUUCACGAAUUUCAUCAACUAACUGGAGGCUCUUUCUAGCUAAAAUCAUGAUUUCAGCAUAAAAGAAAAGAAGAGGUAAGUUAAAUGUGAACACCUGUUCUUCUAAAAUUGCUCUACUGCAGGUACCAGCCCUUGAGAGUUGGCAGAUGGUUUUGUGUUUCUAAGCCUGACCUUAGCAGCCCUUCAUCAAUCUUGCACUGAUUGAUUCUCAGGAAAGAGGAGGUACUGGCUUCCUGGGAUACCCAAGACACCUUUGAUUUAGUUACUACCUGAAGACCAAUUAAUUAUCCACACUGGUUUUCUCAAGUUUUCCUAACAGAGCUGGGCACAGCCUGGCUGGGGUGGCUUUUUAAUGUGGUUACUACAUUUACCCAUAUUAUCAAGUCCCCACCCAUACCCCAGUGCAGUCACUGUCCAUCA